This 447-nucleotide ribosomal RNA is filed under the name uncultured bacterium. Its description in RNAcentral is "bacterial SSU rRNA". It matches the Rfam family "Bacterial small subunit ribosomal RNA", at positions 355 to 825 of the family's 1533-position model. The record is from RNAcentral.
UAACGAAUCUUCCGCAAUGCACGAAAGUGUGACGGAGCGACGCCGCGUGGAGGACGAAGUUCUUCGGAAUGUAAACUCCUGUCAGGGGAAAGAAAGUUCUGAUCUACCCCAGAGGAAGAGGCGGCUAACUCUGUGCCAGCAGCCACGGUAAUACAGAGGCCUCGAGCGUUAGACGGAAUCACUGGGCCUAAAGCGUGUGUAGGCGGAAGGGUAAGUACCUUGUGAAAUCCCACGGCUUAACCGUGGAACGGCUUGGUAUACUGCUUUUCUUGAGCAAUCUAGGGGCGAGUGGAACAGAUGGUGGAGCGGUGAAAUGCGUAGAUAUCAUCUGGAACGCCAAUGGUGAAGACAACUCGCUGGGGAUUUGCUGACGCUGAGACACGAAAGCCAGGGGAGCGAACGGGAUUAGAUACCCAUGUAGUCCCUGAGCGGGCUGGCAAGGCGCAU